GCCCCUGUAGGCUAAUUGGAUAAACCACCGGCCUCCGAAGCCGGAUUUCCGCGUUCGAGUCGCGGCGGGGGUA
This 73-nucleotide transfer RNA is filed under the name Planctomycetota bacterium. RNAcentral's name for it is "Planctomycetes bacterium tRNA-Arg". It matches the Rfam family "tRNA". Rfam says of the family: Transfer RNA (tRNA) molecules are approximately 80 nucleotides in length. Their secondary structure includes four short double-helical elements and three loops (D, anti-codon, and T loops). Lineage: Bacteria; Pseudomonadati; Planctomycetota. The record is from RNAcentral.